CUGCCUCAGUCUCCUGAGUAGCUGUGAUUACAGGUGGAUCAUGCUAGAUUGUCCCAGCCUGCCCUGUGCUUCAUUAGCCGGUCAACAGAUCCAUCUCAAAUACCUCCCAUGGGUACUUACUGAUUGCUUCAACACAAACCAUGGCACCCUUGAUGACUUUCCUUCAGGAAGCUCAAGGACUAUGCAUCCUUCUGGGUCAGAACUGGGCACACAGCCAUCAGUACUGGACAAUGGCGGCGGCUCAGGGACACACCGGAGCCCUGGCCCCUGCAGAGCUCCCAGCAUGGUUGAGAAGAGAGAUGCAAAAUGACCACAUGGCGGGUGAGGAGGAGCUCCCUCGGUGCAGCUGAGAUGAGCCCUAGACACUCUCAAUCACCCCCACGAUGACCCCUUCCCAGAGGUCCCCUCAGUCAUCUGCCCUGGACCAAGCUCUUUCUGAUCCUAGACCCUCCACCCUCCCCCUAUCUCCCAGGGCUCGGUGACAUUCCAGACAGAAAUUUCUGACCCUUUUACUUUGGCCCCUCCCUCCCCAGCCUAGUCUCUGGUCAAACUGGAUUCCUGGCUGUUCCCAGAACGAGCUGCCUUUCCCCACCUUGCCACCUCUGCCCUUGUUCUCUCUGCCUGAAUGUCCUCCUUCACUAGUCUCGCUGCCUUGCACAUCUCUCCUGAGGGCUGUCAUCUCAGAACGAGCUGCAUUUGUCCAGCGUGGCCCACCGUCUACUAGAGUGUCCUCCUUCAGCCUGUCCCACUGCCUUGCAAAACUUUUCUGGGGGAUCUGUUCACGAUGCCUUCUGUAGCAUACUCCAAGAAUCUAGCACCCCCUGGAGUUGUGCCACACAGCACCCCUUUGCAGUCAAGCUCCCUCAGCACCACCACCUCCACCCUGGAAGAGUUCCCCUUCCCUUUGAAAUCUCAGGGGACUUUGCAACCACCCUGGCUUUAUUGGAAGGCUUUGUAUGUCUCCACAGGGUAAACACCCAUUUACUGGGGUGAUGAUGUCUCCAGGAUCUAGUUCAUGUUUGUCGUUGGUAACUGGCCCCACCCAGUUCUGGGCAAACAGGCUGGACCCCGGCAGGAACAGAGCCCACCAGCCUAAACUUCCGUGGAGGUGGAGAGGGGGCAGGCUUCUGUCUCUUUUUGGCUGAAGGUGCAUCAUGUCCAAGGCCCCACUUCUAGCCAAGCAGAGAAGCUGGGUGAUAAAGAUGGGUGAGAGUGGGUGAUGUACCCAGGAGUCCCGGCCUCCCGGCUCCUCACUCCUCUACACAUAACUUUAUCCGGCCAAUGCCACAGACUGCUGGUGAGGCCAGAUGCACGAGUGAUCAUAAUCACAACAGUAGUGAAACUGCCAGUGAUGAAACUGAUAAGGACAAGAAAUGACAAUAAUCAAGGUGGGGUUUCUCGUGGACAUUUCCAAGACUUCAUUCUCAAAUUCUCUCCCUGAGGGUCCCCCCACCCUGUCCUCCCACCUAAGCCUGGAAUGAGGGGGCACUGGCCUUCAGGCUCCCAAACCUGGCUGGGUCUGGCCGCCCCCUGGCCUUGCCCUGUGAACAACCAGCUGUCCCUGGGCUGUGAUUCAGUGUCUGUCUCCCAGGUGACCUCAGCAUGGGCUUUGAGGAAGGGGAGAGAGUAGUUUCUUCUGAGACUGGAUAGUGACUCAGGGACCCGGGGCUGGGGCCUCAAAAGUGCCUUUUUUGGCCUGGGCUCAGGAAUCCAGAGAAACUGGUCAGGAGGAGGCCUCAGUGACGAAAACCCCUCCCUCUGCCCCCGCCCCUCUGCCAGAGCCAUAUAACUGCUCAACCUGUCCCCGAGAGAGAGAGAGUGCCCUGGCAGCUGUCGGCCGGAAGGAACUGGUCUGCUCACACUUGCUGGCUUGCUCAUCAGGACUGGCUUUAUCUCCUGACUCACAGUGCAAAGGCGCUCUCUGCGAACGUUAAGUCCAUCCCCAGCGCUUGGAACCCUACGGCCCCCACAGCCGGAUCCCCUCAGCCUUCCAGGUCCUCAACUCCCGCGGACGCUGAACAAUGGCCUCCAUGGGGCUACAGGUAAUGGGCAUCGCGCUGGCCGUCCUGGGCUGGCUGGCCGUCAUGCUGUGCUGCGCGCUGCCCAUGUGGCGCGUGACGGCCUUCAUCGGCA
This 2133-nucleotide long non-coding RNA is filed under the name Pongo abelii (Sumatran orangutan). Its description in RNAcentral is "lncRNA (ENSPPYG00000036380.1)". Lineage: Eukaryota; Metazoa; Chordata; Mammalia; Primates; Hominidae. The record is from RNAcentral.